AGCUCCAAUAGCGUAUAUUAAAGUUGUUGCAGUUAAAAAGCUCGUAGUUGGAUUUCUGGUAGUGGGUAAGAGCUCGUUGCACGUUGCUCGCGUUCAUUGCCAUCCUUCUGUUAACCUAUCAGGGCAUUCUAUUGUCAGUUAGGGGCUCAGAUAUUUUACCUUGAGAAAAUUAGAGUGUUUCAGGCAGGCUUGUGCCCGGAUACAUUAGCAUGGAAUAAUGGAAUAGGACUUUAGCCUCUUCUGUUGGUCUGAGGGGUUGAAGUAAUGAUUAAUAGGGAUAGUUGGGGGCAUUAGUACUUAACUGUCAGAGGUGAAAUUCUCGGAUUUGUUAAAGACUAACUUAUGCGAAAGCAUUUGCCAAGGAUGUUU
RNAcentral lists this ribosomal RNA (369 nucleotides) under uncultured eukaryote. Its description in RNAcentral is "SSU rRNA". It matches the Rfam family "Eukaryotic small subunit ribosomal RNA", at positions 587 to 969 of the family's 1831-position model. The record is from RNAcentral.